This 184-nucleotide unclassified non-coding RNA is filed under the name plant metagenome. Its description in RNAcentral is "partial contains 5.8S ribosomal RNA, internal transcribed spacer 2, and large subunit ribosomal RNA". The record is from RNAcentral.
UUCUAUGAAGGCAACGUGCAGGGCGUUGGCUUUCGCUACUCUGUAAAGCAGGUCGCGAAAGGCUUCGACGUGAUCGGCUGGGUGCGAAAUCUCACCGACGGUCGCGUCGAGCUGCAGGCUGCGGGCGAGCCUGCUGAGCUCGCGGCAUUUCUGGACGCGAUCAGGAACAGCCACCUGCGCGCGC